Non-coding RNA from Oryzias latipes (Japanese medaka), 562 nucleotides. NCBI's taxonomy places the organism in Eukaryota, Metazoa, Chordata, Actinopteri, Beloniformes, Adrianichthyidae. The record is from RefSeq and is a predicted model, not a curated record.
GGGAAGGAAGCUGACGGAGCCGCGCUCCCAUCCCCGUGGAUUGGCUGAGGGGUUAUGGAGGUUGACUCAAGGGGGCGCUAGACCUGCAGAAUGCUGACACGGCACAGCAAAUAGAGAUGCAUCCUGCUGCUGAAGCACAGAGCUCCGCGCUCCGUCUCUGGGGUGGAUGAGAGGAACGACAAACACCCUGCUGUCUGGAGGAAAGAAUAGAUAGCUGACAUGUAUCUGCCUGGCAUGAGGAGCAGGAGGAGGGACAGGGACGAGGGAGGGAGGAGAGGUAUUAAGGAGGGAGAAAAUGUGAUUUGGCCCUGGCAAUCUUCGUGGGGGCCCCCCUCUGAUGUAUAACCCCCCACCCAUCCGUGACGCCAUGAGACAUUAUAGGGGUUAGGAAAGGCUGUUAUGAUGGUAGUGUCUUGAUAACUAUGGGGGGAGAGGGAUUGAUAGAGGAGGUUCAUGUUACGCUACAUUUUGUUGUGCUAACAAAAAAUGUAGUAUUUUAUCGUUGCACCCUCUGGGGGGAAAAACAAAGAUCAACAGGAACAAUAGUAAAAAAAAAAAAAAA